GCCUGGGUGGCUCAGUCGGUUAAGCGUCUGACUUAGGCUCAGGUCAUGACCUCACAGUUUGUGGGUGGGAGCCCCACAUCAGGUC
This 85-nucleotide transfer RNA is filed under the name Felis catus (domestic cat). It matches the Rfam family "tRNA". Rfam says of the family: Transfer RNA (tRNA) molecules are approximately 80 nucleotides in length. Their secondary structure includes four short double-helical elements and three loops (D, anti-codon, and T loops). Lineage: Eukaryota; Metazoa; Chordata; Mammalia; Carnivora; Felidae. The record is from Rfam by way of RNAcentral.